UCCGGUGAUGAUGGCAAAGAGGACACACCCGUACCCAUACCGAACACGGAAGUUAAGCUCUUUAGCGUCGAGAGUAGUUGGGGGCUUCCCCCUGCGAGCGUAGAACGUUGCCGGGU
This 116-nucleotide ribosomal RNA is filed under the name Bacillota bacterium. The record is from RNAcentral. Lineage: Bacteria; Bacillati; Bacillota.